This 66-nucleotide transfer RNA is filed under the name Runaria punctata. RNAcentral's name for it is "tRNA-Asn". Lineage: Eukaryota; Metazoa; Arthropoda; Insecta; Hymenoptera; Blasticotomidae. The record is from RNAcentral.
UUAAUUAAAGCCAAAAAGAGGCAUAUUAUUGUUAAUAAUAUAAUUGAAUAUAUAAUUCUAAUUAAA